ACUCCUACGGGAGGCAGCAGUGGGGAAUAUUGCACAAUGGGCGCAAGCCUGAUGCAGCCAUGCCGCGUGUGUGAAGAAGGCCUUCGGGUUGUAAAGCACUUUCAGUCGUGAGGAAGGUAGUGUAGUUAAUAGCUGCAUUAUUUGUACGUUAGCGACAGAAGAAGCACCGGCUAACUCCGUGCCAGCAGCCGCGGUAAUACGGAGGGUGCGAGCGUUAAUCGGAAUUACUGGGCGUAAAGCGCAUGCAGGUGGUUUGUUAAGUCAGAUGUGAAAGCCCGGGGCUCAACCUCGGAAUAGCAUUUGAAACUGGCAGACUAGAGUACUGUAGAGGGGGUUAGAAUUUCAGGUGUAGCGGUGAAAUGCGUAGAGAUCUGAAGGAUACCGGUGGCGAAGGCGGCCCCUGGACAGAUACUGACACUCAGAUGCGAAAGCGUGGGAGCAAAC
Molecule: ribosomal RNA, 444 nt
Filed under: uncultured bacterium
Lineage: Bacteria
Description: bacterial SSU rRNA
Rfam family: Bacterial small subunit ribosomal RNA
Source: RNAcentral